UACGGAGGGUGCAAGCGUUGUUCGGAAUUACUGGGCGUAAAGGGCGCGUAGGCGGCCGCCCGCGUCGGAUGUGAAAGCCCGGGGCUCAACCCCGGAACGGCAUCCGAGACGGGGCGGCUGGAGACCGGGAGAGGAGGGUGGAAUAGCCAGUGUAGAGGUGAAAUUCGUAGAUAUUGGUUGGAACACCGGUGGCGAAAGCGGCUCUCUGGCCCGGUUCUGACGCUGAGGCGCGAAAGCGUGGGGAGCGAACAGG
RNAcentral lists this ribosomal RNA (253 nucleotides) under uncultured bacterium. Its description in RNAcentral is "partial 16S ribosomal RNA". It matches the Rfam family "Bacterial small subunit ribosomal RNA", at positions 524 to 776 of the family's 1533-position model. The record is from RNAcentral.